GUAGGUGAACCUGCGGAAGGAUCAUUAACACGUUCUAAACGUUUAUCAAACUAACUCUAACCGUAUCUCCCUGGUUAAUUAAGUAUCGUCAUUUUGCAAGUAAUCAGGUUUUGGUGAGGUCGCAUCCCACUUGGUAACGAGAGGGACAGUGGACAUGCCUGAUGAAAACAAGUCUAGCUGGAAACAGAGAGACGGGCGAUGAAUUAUUAAUUGGGCUUACUCUUUUCACCAACUUUCAACCGCCUUGGAA
This 250-nucleotide unclassified non-coding RNA is filed under the name plant metagenome. Its description in RNAcentral is "partial contains small subunit ribosomal RNA, internal transcribed spacer 1, and 5.8S ribosomal RNA". The record is from RNAcentral.